AUUGUGUCUGUCCUCAAGACUCAAUUCAUGGAAGCUGCCUCCCCAAAGCAGCCUAUCCUUAAGUGAGCUCUUUAUUCUAAACUCAUUACAAUAUUGCUCUUUGAGCAACUCAUCACGAAUAGCCUGUGACAUCUCCUCUAUUGUAUUCCUGAACUGUUACUCAAGGCUUCAAUGAUCUGCACCUAUUUAGACAGCCCAGUCAGUGUGUUACCUCCUGAGGGCCAGAGGGGACCGGAUCCGCCAUGGGACAGGCACACUAUGAAGCAGAUGAGCAUCAGUGAACAGUUACUGAUCGUCUGGUGGGAGAUGGGGACCAAACUUUAAGGCCCACAAGGAUCCCAAGGAGUUUCCAGCUACGCCUCGCUGUCACCAGGUGCCACAGAUGAUGCCCAAACUGCCUGUUGGUCACUGCCUCCUUCCUCACCACCAUUUCCUCAUCCCAGGGUGGGACUGAGGGAUGGAAAUGUCAGCCCUGUC
Molecule: long non-coding RNA, 477 nt
Organism: Heterocephalus glaber (naked mole-rat)
Lineage: Eukaryota; Metazoa; Chordata; Mammalia; Rodentia; Bathyergidae
Source: Ensembl